GAGCAAUGUGAUAAGCACAAAGCUAACUAUUCUUUUACUAAAGAAUAUCGUGUGCUUGUCACUUAACGUGACAUACGCUUAUUUUUGGAGGAGCUCCUCUUGGUGAGGGGCU
This 112-nucleotide small nuclear RNA is filed under the name Lupinus angustifolius (narrow-leaved blue lupine). RNAcentral describes it as "U5 spliceosomal RNA". It matches the Rfam family "U5 spliceosomal RNA". Rfam says of the family: U5 RNA is a component of both types of known spliceosome. The precise function of this molecule is unknown, though it is known that the 5' loop is required for splice site selection and p220 binding, and that both the 3' stem-loop and the Sm site are important for Sm protein binding and cap methylation. Lineage: Eukaryota; Viridiplantae; Streptophyta; Magnoliopsida; Fabales; Fabaceae. The record is from Rfam by way of RNAcentral.